Molecule: small RNA, 126 nt
Filed under: Escherichia coli
Lineage: Bacteria; Pseudomonadati; Pseudomonadota; Gammaproteobacteria; Enterobacterales; Enterobacteriaceae
Description: partial RtT sRNA
Rfam family: RtT RNA
About the family: This family represents a bacterial cis-regulatory element known as RtT RNA.
Source: RNAcentral
CCCAUGCGGGGAAGGAUGAGAAGCUUCAACCAAGGUUCGACUUGAGCGCCAGCGAGAGAGCGUUGCCGCAGGCAACGACCCGAAGGGCGAAGCGCGCAGCGCUGAGUAAUCCUUCCCCCACCACCA